UACGUAGGGUGCGAGCGUUGUCCGGAAUUAUUGGGCGUAAAGGGCUCGUAGGCGGUUUGUCACGUCGGGAGUGAAAACUCGGGGCUCAACCCCGAGCCUGCUUCCGAUACGGGCAGACUAGAGGUAUGCAGGGGAGAAUGGAAUUCCUGGUGUAGCGGUGAAAUGCGCAGAUAUCAGGAGGAACACCGGUGGCGAAGGCGGUUCUCUGGGCAUUACCUGACGCUGAGGCACGAAAGCCAGGGGAGCAAACGGG
This 253-nucleotide ribosomal RNA is filed under the name uncultured bacterium. RNAcentral describes it as "partial 16S ribosomal RNA". It matches the Rfam family "Bacterial small subunit ribosomal RNA", at positions 524 to 776 of the family's 1533-position model. The record is from RNAcentral.